CUGGAAUGAUGAUUCUUAGCCAAAUCAGACAUUGAUGUGCUCCAGAGGAAUGUCAUGAGACACCCUUCUGUAGAAGCGCAUCUAUGUGAUGAUAAAACAGAGAAAUGGUAGCUAGCUGACCAGA
This is a non-coding RNA of Daucus carota subsp. sativus, 124 nucleotides long. The record is from Rfam. NCBI's taxonomy places the organism in Eukaryota, Viridiplantae, Streptophyta, Magnoliopsida, Apiales, Apiaceae.